Molecule: long non-coding RNA, 1597 nt
Organism: Cyanistes caeruleus (blue tit)
Lineage: Eukaryota; Metazoa; Chordata; Aves; Passeriformes; Paridae
Source: Ensembl
AGGUGAGACGGUGUCACUGGUGGAUGUGGACAUUUCCCAGCGAGGACUCAGCUCCCCUCACCCUCCCACGCCGCCGCCGCCGCCACGCCGGAGCCUCAGCCUGCUCGGUACUGCCUGGGAAUGUCCUUGGGAAACUGGGAAUGGUCCUUGGAACCUGGGGAUUGUGCUUGGAACCUGGGAAUUGUCCUUGGAACCUGGGAAUUGUGCUUGGAACCUGGGAAUUGUGCUUGGGAACUGGGAAUUGUCCUUGGAACCCCGGGGAUUGUCCUUGGAACCCCAGGGAUUGUCCUUGGAACCCUGGGGAUUGUCCUUGGAACCCCGGGGAUUGUCCUUGGAACCUGGGGAUUGUCCUUGGGAACCUGGGAAUUGUCCUUGUAACCUGGGAAUUGUGCUUGGGAACCUGGGGAUUGUGCUUGGGAACCUGGGGAUUGUCCUUGGAACCUGGGGAUUGUCCUUGGAACCUGGGGAUUGUCCUUGGGAACCUGGGAAUUGUCCUUGGGAACCUGGGAAUUGUCCUUGGAACCCCGGGGAUUGUCCUUGGAACCCCGGGAAUUGUGCUUGGGAACCUGGGAAUUGUGCUUGGAACCUGGGAAUUGUCCUUGGAACCUGGGGAUUGUCCUUGGGAACCUGGGGAUUGUCCUUGGAACGCUGGGAAUUGUGCUUGGGAACCUGGGAAUUGUCCUUGGAACCCCGGGGAUUGUCCUUGGAACCCCAGGGAUUGUCCUUGGAACCCCGGGGAUUGUCCUUGGGAACUUGGGAAUUGUCCUUGGGAACUUGGGAAUUGUCCUUGGGAACUUGGGAUUGUCCUUGGAACCUGGGAAUUGUCCUUGGAAUGCUGGGGAUUGUCCUUGGAACCCCGGGGAUUGUGCUUGGAACCUGGGGAUUGUCCUUGGAACCCCAGGAAUUGUCCUUGGAACCCCAGGAAUUGUCCUUGGAACCCUGGGAAUUGUCCUUGGGAACCUGGGAAUUGUCCUUGGGAACCUGGGAAUUGUGCUUGGAACCUGAGAAUUGUGCUUGGAACCCUGGGGAUUGUCCUUGGGAACCUGGGAAUUGUGCUUGGGAACUUGGGAAUUGUCCUUGGAACACUGGGAAUUGUCCUUGGGAAACUGGGAAUUGUCCUUGGGAAACUGGGAAUUGUUCUUGGAACCUGGGAAUUGUCCUUGGAACGCUGGGAAUUGUGCUUGGGAACCUGGGGAUUGUGCUUGGGAACUUGGGAAUUGUCCUUGGAACGCUGGGGAAUGUCAUUGGGAAACUGGGAAUUGUCCUUGGAACCCCAGGAAUUGUCCUUGGAACACUGGGAAUUUCCCCCUGCUUUUUUUCCUAUCCUUGCUGCUUUUGGGGGAACUUUCCUCCUGUUUUUUGGGUCUUUCCCCUGCUUUUUUCCCAUUCCUGCUGAUUUUGGGUCUUUCCCCUGCUUUUUUCCCAUUCCUGCUGAUUUUGGGUCUUUCCCCUGCUUUUUUCCCAUUCCUGCUGAUUUUGGGUCUUUCCCCUGCUUUUUUCCCAUUCCUGCUCCUUUGGAGACUUUUCCAUCUCCCACCGUGGCUGGAUCCUUUCCCUGUUCCCGGAAAAUCGAGGCUGCUCCAGCAGGAUCCAGCCU